This 19-nucleotide small RNA is filed under the name Arabidopsis thaliana (thale cress). Its description in RNAcentral is "Ath_wt_09496". The record is from RNAcentral. Lineage: Eukaryota; Viridiplantae; Streptophyta; Magnoliopsida; Brassicales; Brassicaceae.
UGGUCAUCGCGCUUGGUUG